RNAcentral lists this ribosomal RNA (467 nucleotides) under uncultured bacterium. RNAcentral describes it as "partial 16S ribosomal RNA". It matches the Rfam family "Bacterial small subunit ribosomal RNA", at positions 28 to 507 of the family's 1533-position model. The record is from RNAcentral.
GACGAACGCUGGCGGCGUGCUUAACACAUGCAAGUCGAACGGAAAGGCCCUGCUUUUGUGGGGUGCUCGAGUGGCGAACGGGUGAGUAACACGUGAGUAACCUGCCCUUGACUUUGGGAUAACUUCAGGAAACUGGGCUAAUACCGGAUAGGAGCUCCCGCUGCAUGGUGGGGGGUGGAAAGUUUCGGCGGUUGGGGAUGGACUCGCGGCUUAUCAGCUUGUUGGUGGGGUAGUGGCUUACCAAGGCUUUGACGGGUAGCCGGCCUGAGAGGGUGACCGGCCACAUUGGGACUGAGAUACGGCCCAGACUCCUACGGGAGGCAGCAGUGGGGAAUAUUGCACAAUGGGCGGAAGCCUGAUGCAGCAACGCCGCGUGCGGGAUGACGGCCUUCGGGUUGUAAACCGCUUUCGCCUGUGACGAAGCGUGAGUGACGGUAAUGGGUAAAGAAGCACCGGCUAACUACGUG